RNAcentral lists this ribosomal RNA (484 nucleotides) under Vibrio sp. RNAcentral's name for it is "bacterial SSU rRNA". It matches the Rfam family "Bacterial small subunit ribosomal RNA", at positions 785 to 1268 of the family's 1533-position model. Lineage: Bacteria; Pseudomonadati; Pseudomonadota; Gammaproteobacteria; Vibrionales; Vibrionaceae. The record is from RNAcentral.
CCCUGGUAGUCCACGCCGUAAACGAUGUCUACUUGGAGGUUGUGGCCUUGAGCCGUGGCUUUCGGAGCUAACGCGUUAAGUAGACCGCCUGGGGAGUACGGUCGCAAGAUUAAAACUCAAAUGAAUUGACGGGGGCCCGCACAAGCGGUGGAGCAUGUGGUUUAAUUCGAUGCAACGCGAAGAACCUUACCUACUCUUGACAUCCAGAGAACUUUCCAGAGAUGGAUUGGUGCCUUCGGGAACUCUGAGACAGGUGCUGCAUGGCUGUCGUCAGCUCGUGUUGUGAAAUGUUGGGUUAAGUCCCGCAACGAGCGCAACCCUUAUCCUUGUUUGCCAGCGAGUAAUGUCGGGAACUCCAGGGAGACUGCCGGUGAUAAACCGGAGGAAGGUGGGGACGACGUCAAGUCAUCAUGGCCCUUACGAGUAGGGCUACACACGUGCUACAAUGGCGCAUACAGAGGGCAGCAAGCUAGCGAUAGUGAGU